Molecule: ribosomal RNA, 499 nt
Filed under: uncultured bacterium
Lineage: Bacteria
Description: partial 16S ribosomal RNA
Rfam family: Bacterial small subunit ribosomal RNA
Source: RNAcentral
ACGAACGCUGGCGGCGUGCUUAACACAUGCAAGUCGAACGGGUCUGCCCUGUUUUUUGCGGGGUGGGUCAGUGGCGAACGGGUGAGUAACACGUGAGUAACCUGCCCCUCACUUCUGGAUAACCGCUUGAAAGGGUGGCUAAUACGGGGUGUUCUGGCUGUGCCGCAUGGUGUGGCUGGGAAAGAUUCACUUUUGUGGUGUUUUGGUGGGGGAUGGGCUGGCGGCCUAUCAGCUUGUUGGUGGGGGGAUGGCCUGCCAAGGCUUUGACGGGUAGCCGGCCUGGGAGGGUGGGCGGUCACACUGGGACUGAGAUACGGCCCAGACUCCUGCGGGAGGCAGCAGUGGGGGGUAUUGCACAAUGGGCGGAAGCCUGAUGCAGCGACGUCGCGUGAGGGAUGGAGGCCUUCGGGUUGUGAACCUCUUUCGCCGGUGAAGAAGGUCCUGCUCUUUGUGGUGGGGUUGACGGUAGCCGGGUUAUGAAGCGCCGGCUAACUACGUG